UGCACACAAGGUUCGCGGCGCCGCCUCUGCGCGCCGUGGGGACACAGGGCUGUCGCCAAGGCCCCAGGAAGGGUUUUGCAAACGCUUGUGGGGCUGGGAUCGCGGCUGACAUACAAGCGUGUAAGCGGGUCCUAUCCUCCUCACUGUCCGUCUCUACUCGGUCUCGAAAAGUGGCCCCUGUCUGGCGUUCUACCCAGUGUAGCGUUGGCAACCACAGCAGCCGCAACCUAACGACGGCCGAAGACUGGACGCCGGAAGUCCCGCCCACGCCGCUACGGGAAACGCCCCUCUGCGCCUUCCGUGUAUGGCUUGGGGUCGGCUUCCGUCCCUUGUAGCACUGCCUUCUGGGUAAUGUAGUUUGACGGAAUCCGGGUGGUACCUGGAGCGCACUUUCUGUUCUCGCCCCCAGGGAAGCCAGAACCAGGCCCAAACCAGACGGCCCAGCUUAUGCCCAGCAACUCAGGGUCACCAGAUCUUGUCUCAUCAAGACACUUUCAGCCCACCACCCAAACCUGUAGCCCACAUGAAGAGGGCAAUAAUCCUGGACACUGUGAAAAGUAAAAGCAUUACGUCCAAAGAGGCAUCCCCAGGAUGGAGCAGAAAUGAGAAAACAUAAUGAAGAUACAAUUUUGCAAUCACUUCUGCCUAUAUUCCAUGGCCUACAACCCACUCAAAUAGCUCCACAUGUAAGAGAAGCCAGGAUGUGCUGUCCUCCAGAGCAUCCAGAAAGAGAUAAUGGGAUAGGAUAAGUCCUUGGCCAUUUUCUAG
Molecule: long non-coding RNA, 768 nt
Filed under: Pan troglodytes (chimpanzee)
Lineage: Eukaryota; Metazoa; Chordata; Mammalia; Primates; Hominidae
Description: long non-coding RNA NONPTRT008072
Source: RNAcentral